UUGUAAAGUUAACCUAACUAACGAAGCUACCUAAGUUGUGUUUUAAAAUUCACUGUUAGCACUGAAAAUCUAUAGCUUAUAAUUUAUAUUACAUGCAUUAUAAAUUUUCAGUACUGAUAAUGAAUUGUAGAACACAGAUUAGGUAGCCCAGUCCUAAUUGAAAUUCAAAAAACUUACAUAAAAGAGGCAUAUUUAUUCGACAUGUGGAAUGCUCAGGAAAUCGGUCGAAAAUGUGGUUAUUGUAGGUAUUUUAUCCCACAAUUUUCCGAUUUAAUGAAACAUUCUUGUUUUUAUCCAUUUGACGAAGACAUGCAUGCAUUGAAGGUGGAUGAAAAUUUUGUAGUUACUUACUAAGAGAAGACUAUGCAGAUGAUAAUACUUUGUCCCAAGCUGCGAAUAGUACAUGUCAGCAGACAUGUAAUGUAAAUAAUGAUACUGAUGGACAACAGCAAGUGCAACAGCAAGUUGAUAACAGUGACGAAUUAUUAAUUUCGUGCGUGGCUCGUAAGCGAGCAUUAUUCGACCAUCGAAUACCUGCAAAAAAAAAGAAGUAAUUUAAAAAAAAGUGCGCAGUGGCAGGAAGUAUGUAACCUAAUGAGAGGUUAGUUUAAAAAUUUUGUCCAAGUAAGACUACAGAA
Molecule: long non-coding RNA, 638 nt
Organism: Wasmannia auropunctata (little fire ant)
Lineage: Eukaryota; Metazoa; Arthropoda; Insecta; Hymenoptera; Formicidae
Exons: 3
Source: RefSeq, a predicted model, not a curated record